Molecule: ribosomal RNA, 463 nt
Filed under: uncultured bacterium
Lineage: Bacteria
Description: partial 16S ribosomal RNA
Rfam family: Bacterial small subunit ribosomal RNA
Source: RNAcentral
GAUGAACGCUGACAGAAUGCUUAACACAUGCAAGUCUUUGGCGAAGCUGUGCUUGCACAGCCUAGCCAAGGCGGACGGGUGAGUAACGCGUAAGGAACUUGCCCUGCAGUCAGGGAUAUCAGACGGAAACGACUGAUAAGACCUGGUAAAGUCAGGCGGACUCAUGUCCAGCCUGAUGAAAAGAGAUGCUGCAGGAGAGCCUUGCGUCCUAUUAGCUUGUUGGUGGGGUAACGGCCCACCAAGGCGAUGAUAGGUAGCCGGCCUGAGAGGGUGGACGGCCACAAGGGGACUGAGAUACGGCCCUUACUCCUACGGGAGGCAGCAGUGGGGAAUAUUGGACAAUGGGGGCAACCCUGAUCCAGCAAUUCUGUGUGCACGAUGAAGGUUUUCGGAUUGUAAAGUGCUUUCAGCAGGGAAGAAAAAAAUGACGGUACCUGCAGAAGAAGCGACGGCUAAAUACGUG